Small nuclear RNA from Ochlerotatus camptorhynchus, 151 nucleotides. RefSeq annotates it as U11 spliceosomal RNA. The transcript has a single exon. NCBI's taxonomy places the organism in Eukaryota, Metazoa, Arthropoda, Insecta, Diptera, Culicidae. The record is from RefSeq and is a predicted model, not a curated record.
UAAAAGGGUGCUUGCUCUACGUUUAUAUGGCACAUCUGAUCGGUUUCUAAUGGAAGUUCGGUUAGGUGAAGUAUGGUUAUCAAGACAUACUUAGCACAUAAUUUUUUUUCUUGAAGACAGUUGACUGCUGCUUGCAUGCGUCGGCGUCUUC